CCUACGGGAGGCUGCAGUGGGGAAUAUUGGGCAAUGGAGGAAACUCUGACCCAGCAACGCCGCGUGAAUGAUGAAGGUCUUCGGAUUGGAAAGUUCUUUUCUAAGGGAAGAAGAAAGUGACGGUACCUUCGUAAUAAGCCUCGUCUAACUACGUGCCAGCAGCCGCGGUAAUACGUAGGAGGCAAGCGUUAUCCGGAAGGACUGGGCGUAAAGGGUGCGUAGGUGGUUUGACAAGUUGGUAGCGUAACUCCGGGGCUCAACCUCGGCACUACUACCAAAACUGUCGGACUUGAGUGCAGGAGGGGCAAACGGAAUUCCUAGUGUAGCGGUGGAAUGCGUAGAUAUCAGGAGGAACACCAGUGGCGAAGGCGAUUUGCUGGACUGCAACUGACACUGAGGCACGAAAGCGUGGGGAGCAAACAGGAUUAGAUACCCUGGUAGUC
RNAcentral lists this ribosomal RNA (443 nucleotides) under uncultured bacterium. Its description in RNAcentral is "partial 16S ribosomal RNA". It matches the Rfam family "Bacterial small subunit ribosomal RNA", at positions 338 to 795 of the family's 1533-position model. The record is from RNAcentral.